AAUAGAUCCCGGGUAGUCCAUGCCGUAAACGAUGUGUACUCGAUGUUCGUCCUACAUUGUAGGAUGAGUGUCUAAGCAAACGCGGUAAGUACACCGCCUGGGGAGUACGGUCGCAAGGCCAAAACUCAAAGGAAUUGACGGGGGCCCGCACAAGCAGCGGAGCGUGUGGUUUAAUUCGAGGUUACGCGAAGAACCUUACCUGGACUUGACAUAGUGGUGGUAGGGAACCGAAAGGGGACCGACCUUCGGGAGCCAUUACAGGUGCUGCAUGGCUGUCGUCAGCUCGUGUCGUGAGAUGUUCGGUUAAGUCCGAAACGAGCGCAACCCUUGGCGUGUGUUACAAGUGUCACACGCGACUGCCCGUGACAAACGGGAGGAAGGUGGGGAUGACGUCAAGUCAGCAUGGCCUUUAUGUCCAGGGCUACACACACGCUACAAUGGGCGGUACAAUGGGUCGCGAAGCCGCGAGGCGGAGCCAAUCCUAAAAGCCGUUCGUAGUUCGGAUUGCAGGCUGCAACUCGCCUGCAUGAAGUCGG
This 536-nucleotide ribosomal RNA is filed under the name uncultured bacterium. Its description in RNAcentral is "bacterial SSU rRNA". It matches the Rfam family "Bacterial small subunit ribosomal RNA", at positions 777 to 1329 of the family's 1533-position model. The record is from RNAcentral.